Molecule: non-coding RNA, 68 nt
Organism: Erinaceus europaeus (western European hedgehog)
Lineage: Eukaryota; Metazoa; Chordata; Mammalia; Eulipotyphla; Erinaceidae
Source: Rfam
UUAUAAUGGUGUUGAUCAAAUGUCUGACCUGAAAAUUGGUGAAGAGCAACAAAGAAAUUACUAAACUA